RNAcentral lists this ribosomal RNA (496 nucleotides) under uncultured bacterium. Its description in RNAcentral is "partial 16S ribosomal RNA". It matches the Rfam family "Bacterial small subunit ribosomal RNA", at positions 29 to 507 of the family's 1533-position model. The record is from RNAcentral.
AUUAACGCUGGCGGCGUGCCUCAUCCCUGCCAGUCGAGCGAACAGACGAGGAGCUUGCUCCUCUGACGUUAGCGGCGGACGGGUGAGUAACACGUGGAUAACCUACCUAUAAGACUGGGAUAACUUCGGGAAACCGGAGCUAAUACCGGAUAAUAUAUUGAACCGCAUGGUUCAAUAGUGAAAGACGGUUUUGCUGUCACUUAUAGAUGGAUCCGCGCCGCAUUAGCUAGUUGGUAAGGUAACGGCUUACCAAGGCAACGAUGCGUAGCCGACCUGAGAGGGUGAUCGGCCACACUGGAACUGAGACACGGUCCAGACUCCUACGGGAGGCAGCAGUAGGGAAUCUUCCGCAAUGGGCGAAAGCUUGACGGAGCAACGCCGCGUGAGUGAUGAAGGUCUUCGGAUCGUAAAACUCUGUUAUUAGGGAAGAACAAAUGUGUAAGUAACUAUGCACGUCUUGACGGUACCUAAUCAGAAAGCCACGGCUAACUACGUG